GGACUACACGGGUAUCUAAUCCUGUUUGCUCCCCACGCUUUCGCGCCUCAGCGUCAGUCUCGGUCCAGAGCGCCGCCUUCGCCACCGGUGUUCUUCCCAAUAUCUACGAAUUUCACCUCUACACUGGGAAUUCCACGCUCCUCUCCCGAUCUCUAGCAAUCCCGUUUCAAGCGCAAUUCCCAGGUUGAGCCCGGGGCUUUCACGCCUGACAAAUGAUCGCCGCCUGCGCGCCCUUUACGCCCAGUAAAUCCGAACAACGCUCGCCCCCUUCGUAUUACCGCGGCGGCUGGCAC
This 293-nucleotide ribosomal RNA is filed under the name uncultured bacterium. RNAcentral's name for it is "partial 16S ribosomal RNA". The record is from RNAcentral.